This 615-nucleotide ribosomal RNA is filed under the name Arthrobacter sp. CS16. Its description in RNAcentral is "bacterial SSU rRNA". It matches the Rfam family "Bacterial small subunit ribosomal RNA", at positions 78 to 705 of the family's 1533-position model. Lineage: Bacteria; Bacillati; Actinomycetota; Actinomycetes; Micrococcales; Micrococcaceae. The record is from RNAcentral.
GCUUGCACUGGGGAUUAGUGGCGAACGGGUGAGUAACACGUGAGUAACCUGCCCUUGACUCUGGGAUAAGCCUGGGAAACUGGGUCUAAUACCGGAUAUGACUCCUCAUCGCAUGGUGGGGGGUGGAAAGCUUUUGUGGUUUUGGAUGGACUCGCGGCCUAUCAGCUUGUUGGUGGGGUAAUGGCCUACCAAGGCGACGACGGGUAGCCGGCCUGAGAGGGUGACCGGCCACACUGGGACUGAGACACGGCCCAGACUCCUACGGGAGGCAGCAGUGGGGAAUAUUGCACAAUGGGCGGAAGCCUGAUGCAGCGACGCCGCGUGAGGGAUGACGGCCUUCGGGUUGUAAACCUCUUUCAGUAGGGAAGAAGCCGCAAGGUGACGGUACCUGCAGAAGAAGCGCCGGCUAACUACGUGCCAGCAGCCGCGGUAAUACGUAGGGCGCAAGCGUUAUCCGGAAUUAUUGGGCGUAAAGAGCUCGUAGGCGGUUUGUCGCGUCUGCUGUGAAAGACCGGGGCUCAACUCCGGUUCUGCAGUGGGUACGGGCAGACUAGAGUGCAGUAGGGGAGACUGGAAUUCCUGGUGUAGCGGUGAAAUGCGCAGAUAUCAGGAGGA